Molecule: transfer-messenger RNA, 360 nt
Filed under: Chloroflexota bacterium
Lineage: Bacteria; Bacillati; Chloroflexota
Rfam family: transfer-messenger RNA
About the family: Bacterial tmRNA, also known as 10Sa RNA or SsrA, is named for its dual tRNA and mRNA-like properties.
Source: RNAcentral
GGGGAUGCUGGGUUUCGACAGGAUUGGCGGGUUAGAGGUUGCAAGCCGGGGUGCCAGUACAUCGUCCCGUUAAACAACUGGCAAACGUCGGAAACGACAACGAAGCGUUAGCGCUCGCGGCUUAAUUAAUUAGCCGUGCGUCUGCCCUGACCCUUCCCUGACGGGUUGGGAGCAGGCGUCAAAAAGUCAGGGUGCCGCGGCCAGGACGCUCCUAGCGGUCGCGAAAGAUCAGGGGCUGGAGGAGCCGAAUUCGGCCGGCCGAACUACGCUCCUCGAGACAAAGAAGAGCCGGCUAAGCUUGUAGAUACCGCUAGUCCACCUUUUUUGGACGGGGCGUUCGACUCGCCCCCAUCUCCACUA